Molecule: non-coding RNA, 86 nt
Organism: Chloroflexi bacterium RBG_16_69_14
Lineage: Bacteria; Bacillati; Chloroflexota
Source: Rfam
UCGGUACGCGGGAGGCUCUGAAGCGCGGCCCACACUCUGGCCGCCGGGACCGCGCCGAGCCACUGGCGAGACCGCCCCGCUCCUGA